Molecule: long non-coding RNA, 2578 nt
Organism: Helianthus annuus (common sunflower)
Lineage: Eukaryota; Viridiplantae; Streptophyta; Magnoliopsida; Asterales; Asteraceae
Exons: 13
Source: RefSeq, a predicted model, not a curated record
AUUAUGCCCUCCAAAACUUUUACCCUUUACCCGGAUCCAUCAUCAGCCAUCCAUUUUCUUUCAUGUCUUCACACGGAUCGUGAUCUGACGGAUGAUGUUGUUUUCACACGGAUCCACCUUUCCCCUUCAUUCUCUCUCAUCUCUCUCACAACUCACAUCUCACCAGUCUCUCUCUCUCUCUCUCUGGUGAUCCCAGAUCCAGAUCUGGAUCUAGGGUUUCUCUGCUAUCUCUCUCGCGAUCCAAGCUAUUCAGAUCCGCCUUUCCAUCUGCUCUCUCUCUCGCACGAUCCAAGCGAUUCAGAUCCAAGGAGAUUCAGAUCCAAGAGAUUCAGAUCUAGGUGUCAUGGUUUAAGGAACGUGUCACGUUUCUUCAGAGAUUCCGGUCGGAAUCCGAGCCGAGAUAAUGGAUGCUCUAGGGUUUAUGAAGGUUUGAUGAACUCUGCUGCGUGUACCAGCGAAACACAAAGAUCCACUUUAAAUGGCUUCCGGUAAGACGAUUAGGGUUCCGGCGUGCUAGACUGCCAUCUCUGUCAAAAAAGGUUCCUCAAAGAUAGUGGUUGUGGGUGGAAGAUGAUGACACAAGCCUUGGUAAUUUCAGAUCUCUAUUGACCCUCACCCUAAAAUCAAAUCCAUGUUUACUCGACCUCCAUAUUUUGAGGGUAAAAGUGAAGAUGACUUCUUUGACAGGACUUAAAGCAAGUUGAAGUUUGCACCAGAUAAGGUUCGAUUACAAUGUCUCAGUUAGGGCUUCCCAUCUCUAUUAGAAAGCCAUGGAUAAAGAUGAUGUCCUUACCCCAAGCAUUUGUUGCUUCUGAUGUGAAGGUCAUUACCGAUGUAGAGGAGGUUUUGUCGAUGAUACGGGCUAAAUUCGACAAAGCAAAAGAGUUAGAUGUUGAUCUGCAUAUAUUUGCUGGAGAUUUGCUCGGAAAUUUUGAGAAGAACGCAGAAAGUAAACCACAAUGGCAGGAAAACUUGGAGGAUUUGCUGGUAUUGGCUCAUUGUUCAAGAUCUUGAUGAUAGGCGUCAGGACUUUCCAUGGGUAUUCUGAAGCAACAUCACAAGAAGCAUCAACAACAGAUUGAAAGGGUGGAUUUUUCCGGUUGUUUGAGUCCAACUGCACUGGAAUCAGCUGAAUCGUUUGUUCAUAUACCUUUUGGUGCUAGAAUGUUUAAUAAUGACAUGAUGUUAAGAAGAAAAUUAGAGGAACGGGAAUUACACCAAGCGAUAGAACUCCAAGACAGAAGAUUAAUGAUCCUGCAGUUGGCUGAUGCAAAACACCGUCUGUUUCAACGGAGUUUAUCUCUAGAUGAUGUCGUUUCUUCACUAACUCAAAUAAGCCAAAAUCUUGUUUUCCCAUCUGAUAACAAUAAUGAAGAAGUUGUUGAAGGAUGAGGGCAAUUGAUAAGCUAAAGGAUAUGUUGGAUCUGUUUGCCACCGCCUCCUACACCCCGCCACACAGCUUCUUCGUCGCCGCCACCGUAUGCCUCGGUUUUGUUUAGAUCGGUGGCAUGCGACUCUUUUUCUGUUAGUUCUCUUGUCGACACUGUUGUCUUUUCAGAUUUCCACCAGACAUAGGGUUCCGACAACACUCAAGGAGUUCCGGUGAGGUUCCGUCGAUAAGGAUAACUGCAAAGGCACAUUAGUUUCCGUGGACUUCAAAAACAUUGCAUGCAAAAAAAUCGGAUUUCACGCUUCGUGGUGAUAGUCUUUCUUGGAAAUGAAAGCAUAUUGGAUUUCUGGGAAAAAUUUCGUGGAGAAGAUACUAAGGGUACAACCAAUAUAAUAAAAAAAUCUUUCUACUUAUAAAAGCUUCAGAUCUAAGCUCGGCUUUGCAUUCGGUUGCACUCAGAGGUCAUUGAAAAGGAUCUAUACAACGUCAUAUCUAAAAAGGUAACACCAGUAGCUAGCUGGCGAUUUGUGCUUGGAAAAUUUAGGAGUGACAGGCAUUGAUUUGUUAAAUGAGAUGCAAAGAAGUGGAGUUUUUGUUCGGGAGCAUAAAGAUACACAAGGACCUGAAUAGAUAAUGCCAUCUAAACAAUUUCCAGUGUUCUAGAUUGGCAAGUCAUAGAAAAGUGUUCUAAAUGGACAAGGCAUAAAAACUAACACUGCAGAAAGAGCAUGGAGCCAUGUCAUGGAGAACAGACAGCUACUUGAUGGUCCAAACGUACGUCAACGAAGCUACCUGAUUGGUUGGUUGCUUAAAGCAGUCAAGCGGGCCACACUUUUUUUUCAGUUGUGUGCUAUCAAUGUAUAUUCUACAACAUCUUUAGAAGCAGAGUGGUGGUGUUGCACGUCACAUUCUUUAGUAGUUGCAGAGCACGGAAAUUGGUGACUUUGACUCCAAGGGCGAUUCAGGGAUUAUAGAAAAUAAGGUAUUUAUUAUUGCUGCUGAUAUCAAUUUUGUAUACAAGGUGAACUUUUGACUAAAUAAAGUCAAAUGUGCUGAGUUGCUUAGUUAAAUUCGCAGUUGAUAAGACAAUUUUCGUUUUGAAUUUUCAUAAUCUUGGCCAUUGUUUGGUUUUAAUUGGUUUUGGGUUGGCACUAUUACAUGAUAUGAGACCAAUUAUUUGUUUCAAAA